This 471-nucleotide ribosomal RNA is filed under the name uncultured beta proteobacterium. Its description in RNAcentral is "bacterial SSU rRNA". It matches the Rfam family "Bacterial small subunit ribosomal RNA", at positions 198 to 650 of the family's 1533-position model. The record is from RNAcentral. Lineage: Bacteria; Pseudomonadati; Pseudomonadota; Betaproteobacteria.
GGAGGAAAGCAGGGGAUCGCAAGACCUUGCGCUCAUUGAGCGGCCGAUGCCUGAUUAGCUAGUUGGUGAGGUAAAGGCUUACCAAGGCGACGAUCAGUAGCUGGUCUGAGAGGACGACCAGCCACACUGGGACUGAGACACGGCCCAGACUCCUACGGGAGGCAGCAGUGGGGAAUUUUGGACAAUGGGGGAAACCCUGAUCCAGCCAUGCCGCGUGAGUGAAGAAGGCCUUCGGGUUGUAAAGCUCUUUCAGCCGGAACGAAACAGUCACGGAUAAUACCCGUGACUACUGACGGUACCGGAAGAAGAAGCACCGGCUAACUACGUGCCAGCAGCCGCGGUAAUACGUAGGGUGCGAGCGUUAAUCGGAAUUACUGGGCGUAAAGCGUGCGCAGGCGGUUUUGUACGUCAGAAGUGAAAUCCCCGGGCUUAACCUGGGAACUGCGUUUGAAACUAGAAAGCUAGAAGGGC